UACGGGGGGGGCAAGCGUUGUUCGGAAUUACUGGGCGUAAAGGGCGCGUAGGCGGCCUUCUAAGUCGGACGUGAAAUCCCUCGGCUUAACCGAGGAACUGCGUCCGAUACUGAAAGGCUUGAAUCCGGGAGAGGGAUGCGGAAUUCCAGGUGUAGCGGUGAAAUGCGCAGAUAUCAGGAGGAACACCGGUGGCGAAGGCGGGUCUCUGGGCCGUUACUGACGCUGAGGAGCGAAAGCGUGGGGAGCGAACAGG
RNAcentral lists this ribosomal RNA (253 nucleotides) under uncultured bacterium. RNAcentral describes it as "partial 16S ribosomal RNA". It matches the Rfam family "Bacterial small subunit ribosomal RNA", at positions 524 to 776 of the family's 1533-position model. The record is from RNAcentral.